Non-coding RNA from Cicer arietinum (chickpea), 307 nucleotides. Lineage: Eukaryota; Viridiplantae; Streptophyta; Magnoliopsida; Fabales; Fabaceae. The record is from RefSeq and is a predicted model, not a curated record.
CCCAUAACUUACCUUUUUUUUAAAUAACAUAAAAACAAAAAAAAAUCUCUGAUGUUUUCAAAGGGUAAAAAUCCUAAAGGGUAAAUGCCACAAAUCCCUAUUGGUUUCUCCGUCAGUGCUAGUUCUUUCACUGGUAAAGAAGAUUGCUGCAUUGUGACCGAGGACAGCAACGACAAAAUGAUGAUGAAGGAAUAUUAAGGGAAUCCCCCAAACACAUUGGGGAAGAAGCUGCUACUUUGGAUUAUAGCAGGGCAGGUUACUUUGUAUAUGAAUGCAAUACAUGUAACGAGAUUUUUGUUCAUUUCAA